CGUACGGGUGAGUAACACGUGGAUGAUCUAUCUCUUAGUGGGGAAUAACCCUGGGAAAACCGGGGAUAAUACCGCAUAAGCUCGAGAGAGGAAAGCAGCAAUGCGCUGAGAGAGGAGUCCGCGGCCGAUUAGCUAGUUGGCAGGGUAAAAGCCUACCAAGGCAGAGAUCGGUAGCCGGCCUGAGAGGGCACACGGCCACACUGGCACUGAAACACGGGCCAG
RNAcentral lists this ribosomal RNA (222 nucleotides) under uncultured bacterium. RNAcentral's name for it is "partial 16S ribosomal RNA". It matches the Rfam family "Bacterial small subunit ribosomal RNA", at positions 99 to 334 of the family's 1533-position model. The record is from RNAcentral.